Long non-coding RNA from Brassica napus (rape), 1621 nucleotides. RefSeq lists it as uncharacterized. The record is from RefSeq and is a predicted model, not a curated record. The transcript has 5 exons. NCBI's taxonomy places the organism in Eukaryota, Viridiplantae, Streptophyta, Magnoliopsida, Brassicales, Brassicaceae.
CUUCUCCUUUCCUCUUCAUCCAGUCUCCGUUACUGAGCUUCAUCUACCAUCAAUCAAUGGUGUUCUUCAGUACACUUCGUUUCACCUCCUUCUUUAUCUCCUUCCGUAUAAACCACUUUGUCUUAAGUUGAUCCGAUUCAAUCCCGAAAACCUCCUCUGCUGAAACUAUAGCAAAGAAACCAAACGGCAAGUUCAAUAUGUCCCACUAUCUUGCUUUUGUUUGUUAUUCAAUUAACCAAAAUAGUGCCAGUUUCAAUUAAACUGCCCUGUUGAUCCUAGAAGCCAUUUUUUGCCAUUGCUCUUGCGAUGGCUUCCAUUGAUUUUAUGCUUCAUCAAUUCUGAUUUGAUUCUCUUCUUUUUUUUCACACCAGGGGUUGAUUUUGGGAGCACUUUUCUUGCAGCCUAGCUUCCUGGUAAGGGUUGAGGUAAUGUAAGUCUUCGCUCGGUUUGGUUUAACGAUGUGGGGGUGAGGCUCCUAUUUUUGUUGCAUAUCUAUUCUCCUCUUAGACCUUGUGAGGAAUAGUAAAUUUUUUUUGUCAGAUUAAUUGAACUUAGAAUCAUAAUUCUAUUUUCUCUGGCCGUAAUGUUUAUUACUUAGUGAAUGCCUUGGUAAGUUAUUAUAACUUUAUGUAUUUGUUGUGACUAAACUGGUUGAUAAACUUUGGAAUUAUAGGAAACAGGUUGUCUAAAGGAUGCAUUAGGCAAUGAGAUACUGAAGCUUAAGGAUCAACUUGGUUCAAGACAGAAGGCUAUUUCUUUCUUUGAGCGUGACAAUUCAAGCAACUAUCUGAUACCCGCCUGCAUUGAGAUACCCACGGAUGGAACUGACGAGUGGGAAAUUGACGUGAAACAGUUCCAAAUUGAAAAGAAAGUGGCAUCUUGGUUCAUAUGGGGGGAUCUGCACAGAGGCACUUAUUGCAGUUUGGAGGUUGCUAUCAAAUUUCUCAAACCUGAGCGUAUAAGGUUGCUAUGAGAUUGUCAAGGUUGCUGAUUUUGGAGUUGUCAGAGUACAGAUUGAAUCAGGGGUGAUGACAGCUGAAACAGGGACACAUCGAUGGAUGGCUCCGGAGGGUCUUAGACCAAAGAUUCCAAAGAAGACACAUCCAAAAGUGAAGGGACUUCUACAGAGAUGCUGGAACCAAGACCCAAAAGACAGACCAGAGUUUGAGGAAAUCAUAGAAAUGCUUCAACAGAUAAUGAUUGAGGUAAACGUCGUACCGUGAUGAUGAUCCGAGUAAAAAAACCCUUUUAGAGGCGAGAUUUCUGAGAGCAGGAUGUGGUGGUGGUGGUGAAAACAAGCAGGCUGGAGAUGAAGACCCUGCAGAUAAGGACAAGCACUGUUGGAGAUAGUGAAAUAUAUUAUUUAUAUAAAUAUAAUUAUAUAUUUUUAUUUACAUAAUAGUUUGAAAAAAAAUAUUUUGUGUAAGUAAUAUCAUAAUUUUAUAAAAUACUAAAAUCAAUUGGGUUAGUUUUUAACUUUCACAAAUAAAAAAUAUUAUUUUUUCAUUAGAGAUAGUCUAAGGUAUGGCCGACGUAAACGAUCGACGUUGAGAUUUCAACUUUUUUUAUUCUUAAUAUUCUAAUGUUUCAAUAUAAUUUGAAUAUUCCCUUUGUUUUAUAA